UGCCGAGUAGCCAAGUUGGUAAGGCACCUGACUCUGGAUCAGGCAGUCGUAGGUUCGAGUCCUACCUCGGCAGCCA
RNAcentral lists this transfer RNA (76 nucleotides) under Caloramator fervidus. RNAcentral describes it as "tRNA_Gln_CTG". It matches the Rfam family "tRNA". Rfam says of the family: Transfer RNA (tRNA) molecules are approximately 80 nucleotides in length. Their secondary structure includes four short double-helical elements and three loops (D, anti-codon, and T loops). The record is from RNAcentral. Lineage: Bacteria; Bacillati; Bacillota; Clostridia; Eubacteriales; Clostridiaceae.